GAAUAUUGUAUUUCACUUAUGUAAAUUGCGUUUAAAUUCAUUGUUAUAUUUGUAAACCUACAAUACUGUUUUAUUAGAAUCAGUAUAGGGUUGAACAUUAACUGUAAAUGUGUACAAAAUAGUGUAGGAAGUGUUAAUGUAGUUAACUGUUUCGAACAUUUACCAAUCACUAUUAUAAUAAAAUUUUCGCUAUGUUUGUGCCUCUUAGAAAAUUUGUUUAAUUCUUUAUUAAAUUGAACCAUGCGAAUCAAAAUAGAGAUGAAUUGAUAUUAGCAUAUUUGACAGUUUAUAGACAUAUAAUUUAGCACAGCCGAACGGGCUAAUAAUGCAUUUUUCUGCAGCAUUUUACUGUGCAAUUCGUGUAUUAAUUGGAUACAAUAAAUUAGUAACAAGAAAAAAUAUACAAAGGUAACCCAAGUUAUUUUUCUAUCGAUUUUGUCUCAGCUUUAAAAUGUUGAGAAAAAAAAAAACAAUGCGAUCAAAUUUCAAGGCUUGUCGCUCUCAAUAUUUUGUUUCAUUAAGACCUAAAGCCUAAAACUCCGUCUCAAAAUUAAUAAAAGCCAUGUCCGUAAAAAUGUCUGUACAUUUAUUUGCAGAAAGACAAAUACACUAACACCUAAUUUAUUGAAUUAAUACAGUCAUAUAUGCCAUUGCACUUAGGUUGGGUCAGAACGGUUCUGCAUUUUCAUUUUAAAUCAGUUGUUUUUUACUUGUAGCUUUAUUAUUGUGUUUUUGUAAAUGUAAUAAUAAGAACAAAUAAUCAACCAUCAGCUUUGAUAAGCUUCAUCUAUUCCAUUAGAAUCAUAUUCAAAACAGUGUGGCUGUGGCCAUUGAUUGACGACCUAAAUUAUACCAUUGACUGGGACAGAUUAUGUGAACGUUUGUCUAUAACGAUCACUGAUCACUACUUACUUAUUAUAGAGUUUAAACUGUGGAGUCAUCAAAGGUUCUUAAACGCCUUUAAUAAUAAAAUAAUUCGAAAAUUAAUCAGGGAUAACCUUUAUGUUUUGAUUUAUAUUAUUG
RNAcentral lists this long non-coding RNA (1023 nucleotides) under Mytilus galloprovincialis (Mediterranean mussel). The record is from RNAcentral. Lineage: Eukaryota; Metazoa; Mollusca; Bivalvia; Mytilida; Mytilidae.